Molecule: long non-coding RNA, 1711 nt
Filed under: Sus scrofa (pig)
Lineage: Eukaryota; Metazoa; Chordata; Mammalia; Artiodactyla; Suidae
Description: lncRNA (ENSSSCG00030047861.1)
Source: RNAcentral
AUGGAAGUUCCCAGGCUGGGGUCGAAUCGGAGCUACAGCUGCUGGCCUACACCACAACCACAGCAAUGCCAGAUCUGAGCUGCAUCUGUGACCUACACCACAUCUCAUGGCAAUGGUGAACCCUCAUCCUCAUGGUUCCCAGUCGGAUUUGUUAACCACUGCACCACGGCGGGAACUCCUUUUUUUUUCUUUUGAAUUUGUUGACCCCACAUUUCUCAGAAGCUUCCGUUUACUAAAUUUUCAACAAGCUCACAAACCUACCAGAUUUGCUUCCCAAAAUUCCAAGCUCUGGUUUUCUUUGAGAACAAGGCAAACUGUCUGGAUACACACUUAAAGUUAUAAACAUAGAGGGCACAAAGUCUGAGAGCUUCCAACACUUGGCUCAUCAGAAACACUAGAGAAAGAGAAGAAGGGAGGGAAGGGGUGUGUGUGUGUGUGUGUGUGUGUGUGUGAAGGACGUAAAUAUUCGUGUGAUUUCUCUUUCAUGCUAGAAAGCAUCUGGGAUUUGGUACAAGGCUUGAGGCUUGAGAUUGGAGUUGUGUUCUGAAGAAACGAGGGGGACUUGAGAGGGCUGAAAGAGGUAGCACGAUGAAUCUCAAUGUGACAUGUAAACAAAGGAAAUGAGUAAUUGAAAAUAUCCUGUCUGUGUAUUCAUUUUCUGCAUACACGGACAAAGGCCAGGGUAUGAAACAAAUAGUUUCGGCCUUACUGUUACUUUGCUCUAUUAAAAAAAAAAAAAAGUAACAUAGAAGUAUUUCCAUAAAUUUCAUAAAAUUCUAUUCAAGAAGGAAAAAUACCAUACUGUUUUUGUCCACAUUGGAAAAUUCCUUUUCAAAUAGUUUGGGUAAAUUAUUGGGAGACGUGUCAGAGGAUUAAGCUUUCCUGGUUAAACCUAGAAAGUAAAACCUCAUAAAAUGAUGCCUUUGGAGCAGAUUUUGGAGUCAAACAGUUCGAGACAAAUAUUUCAGUGUCCCAUUAUAAGAAUGAUUUCUUGACUUUUAGGCUUGAGGUUUUCCUUUUCUGGGAGAACUGCCCACAUCGGCCUUCUCCUGCCCUUCCCCAGGAUGUGCAGACACAGUGAACUAAGCUCUUCCUGCUAUAAAAAAGACUGUCCAGAGCAAGACUGCCCAUCAGAAAUAGAGCGCCCACUAUGAGUAUAAUUUUCAAUGUUUUAGUAGCCACAUUUAAAAAAGUAAACACAGGAAUUCCCUGGUGGUGCAGUGGGUUGGGGAUCUGGCAUUGUCACUGCUGUGGCAUGGGUUCAGUCCCUGGCCCAGGAUCUUCCACAUGCUGUAGGUGUGGUCAAAAAAAGUAAAAGUAAAUAGAUGAAAUUAACUUUAUUUAUAUAUUUUAUUUAACUCAAUAUAUCCAAAAUACUAUUAAGUUAACAUGUUGAAAGCAGCUCUCUGGCCCCUUUCCUGUUUGGCUUCUUCUGUUCCCCUCUAACCUUUAAAGAACCUAAUUAACCUGUUGAUUCUUUUCCUAGAUAAAAAGAAGCAAGAAUAAAGAAUUAAGCAGUAUAAAAAUGACUAGCUCUCUUCCCCCAGCAUCUCCCUUAGCAAUCCUGCAGGCAGAUCAUGGAGGUAAGGUAAUCUGUAGAGUCAACCGGUCUACAUGCAACAAGUAAAGUGGCAAAUUUAAUAAUGUAUCUAAAAGAUGCACAGCCAUAUAUAUGUCUAAUUCUACCUUAACUUUUUUCAACCUUUUCUGU